This 589-nucleotide ribosomal RNA is filed under the name uncultured bacterium. RNAcentral describes it as "bacterial SSU rRNA". It matches the Rfam family "Bacterial small subunit ribosomal RNA", at positions 102 to 687 of the family's 1533-position model. The record is from RNAcentral.
ACGGGUGAGUAAUGCCUAGGAAUCUGCCUGGUAGUGGGGGACAACGUCUCGAAAGGGACGCUAAUACCGCAUACGUCCUACGGGAGAAAGCAGGGGACCUUCGGGCCUUGCGCUAUCAGAUGAGCCUAGGUCGGAUUAGCUAGUUGGUGAGGUAAUGGCUCACCAAGGCGACGAUCCGUAACUGGUCUGAGAGGAUGAUCAGUCACACUGGAACUGAGACACGGUCCAGACUCCUACGGGAGGCAGCAGUGGGGAAUAUUGGACAAUGGGCGAAAGCCUGAUCCAGCCAUGCCGCGUGUGUGAAGAAGGUCUUCGGAUUGUAAAGCACUUUAAGUUGGGAGGAAGGGCAGUAAGCGAAUACCUUGCUGUUUUGACGUUACCGACAGAAUAAGCACCGGCUAACUCUGUGCCAGCAGCCGCGGUAAUACAGAGGGUGCAAGCGUUAAUCGGAAUUACUGGGCGUAAAGCGCGCGUAGGUGGUUUGUUAAGUUGAAUGUGAAAUCCCCGGGCUCAACCUGGGAACUGCAUCCAAAACUGGCAAGCUAGAGUAGGGCAGAGGGUGGUGGAAUUUCCUGUGUAGCGGUGAAAU